AACUGCACAAUGUGGGAAACCACGAUGCGGGAAACCCAAGUGCCAGCGCUAUGCGUUGGCUGUCCUCCAGUGUUCGUAACUGGGGAAGAAAGUGCUGGGCAAGACGGGUGCCAGCCGCCGCGGUAAUACCCGCAGCACAAGUGGUGGUCAUUAUUAUUGGGCCUAAAGCGUCCGUAGCUGGCUUGUUAGAUGCCUGGGUAAAUCGAUGCGCUCAACGCAUCGAACUCCGGGUAGACCGGCAAGCUUGGGACCGGGAGAGGCGUGAGCUACUCGAGGGGUAGGGGUAAAAUCCUGUAAUCCUUCGGGGAGGACCAGUGGCGAAGGCGUCACGCUAGAACGGCUCCGACAGUGAGGGACGAAGCCCUGGGGCGCAAACCGGAUUAGAUACCCGGGUAGUCCAGGGUGUAAACGCUGCAGACUUGGUGUCGGUGAUCCUACGAGGGUUGCCGGUGCCGUAGAGAAGUUGUUUAGUCUGCCGCCUGGGGAGUACGGUCGCAAGACUGAAACUUAA
RNAcentral lists this ribosomal RNA (511 nucleotides) under uncultured archaeon. RNAcentral describes it as "bacterial SSU rRNA". It matches the Rfam family "Archaeal small subunit ribosomal RNA", at positions 346 to 859 of the family's 1478-position model. The record is from RNAcentral.